CCCCUCUAUGGGUUCCCUGCAGUACCUGGGGCAAUGGCCUCGCUGCUUGAUCUGCGCUGUAAUUCUCUCACCCGUGCUCGUAGUACAGGAGUGGGUUUCUUAAACCAUUCCUUCAUGUCUUCUCCAUGCUCCCGUAAGUAACUCCACAAGGCGGCUCGGGCCAUGGAUCUACCGCCGUCAUUAUUUGCUCGAGCAGGAAGGCGUCUGCCUUGGAGAGCUGAGACUUUUGAUGAUGCAGGUGAAGGGGAGAUUUCACCUUUAAUCAGUCGGAUCAGCUCCUUCAGCAGCCUCCUCAGAUCCUCCUGAUCUCCAUCGGGUGCUUCUGAUGCUGCAGAAACGGGUUCGUCACAAUCCAUCAAGAGGGACAAGUCCCCCAGUAAAGCGGCCUGAUUCUUCUUCAUUUUCUCCAGUUCUUCUUUCACUUCUGUGACGGCUGAAAUGGAAGCGUGAGAGGGGGGGAGGAUUUCCUCCAAGUUUUGAAGUGUAAGCAUCAGUUCAAAAACCGGGGGUCUCCUCUGCCGGCCCUCGUAUCUCUCAAAGGUUGCUGCCAGCGCACCCGCGUACGUUUCUGCUGCUGUUCGGGUGAGUUUCCGCCAGAGAUCUGGAGAACAUCUCAGUCUCUCGGGAUCGUGGUCCUGGCACGGGUUGUUAGGAACAAACCUGGGGUCAUACAGCAUUUCCACCACGGCCAUUUCUCUCAGAUACUGGAUGCCCUUUUCAGCAGUGUGCCACUUUCUCAUCUCGGGCUCCAGGUCGUCUUUGAAGGGAUAUCUUUCCUUCACGGCUAAUAACACUCGUUCCCAGAGGUUGGUGGCUCCGGGCAGACACCUGCCGAUCCCUCUGUCAACGGCUGAGUCUCUGGCAAUGCUUCCCAGCUGGCGAGCUUCGUUUCCAUCUAGAAUCAAGCUGCUGGCCCCCCUGUCCCAGCACCGAACCAACCAGGAGACAACGGCCUCGUUCGGGCGCCGCGCAAACUCAUUUCUCCAGCCUUGGAUCUCAGUCCUAUCCAGAGGUUGGCGAGCAGUGGUAGCAGUGCCUCCCUCCUCCUCGCUCUCCUCUCCGUGUCUCUUUGUUUCUUCCCUUGCCCUUCUCGGUGCCGGGGGUUUUGGGGAGGGCCCCUCGCCCGGAUCUUCCUCUCCUUCCUCCCCUGCUGCUGCUGCUGCUGCUGCUUCUUCCCGUUCUUGACGCGACGACCCCGGGGCUCCCCACGCUUCUAAGACGUUUCCCAGCCCUCUCCAGAUUCCCUGCCACUCCGCAUUCUCCGGUUUCGGGGAAAGUUUCCUCCAGAUGAUGUAAAUUAUCAUGAGGAGGAAUACAUUCAGGGCAAUUGAGAUCAGGUCCAUUAACUCGGGAUUCCAAAAGGGCGUGAGGAACUGAGAGGAGAACCUGGAAACCGGUCCCAGCAUUGCGCCGGUUGUGAAAUCAGCCACUGCCUCCGAGGGGUGCAGGCACCAGGCAGGAAUCUGCAGCAGCGCCCUGACCUCGAUGGAUGCACACACAGCUCCAGCACAGCACACGAUGAGCUCAGCGAGAAACCAACCCGUCCCCAGGAACACGACGGCCGUUAAUCCUCGACGCGGCGCUGCUGAACUGCAGAACACAUUCACAGCCGGCAGCCGCUGGGACAAGAAAGAAGGGAACAGAAACUGGGUUCAGUGCUGGAGCCUGGCAGGCCACGGCCUCUGCCCUCAGCCCUGCGGGUCAGAGCCGCCCACAGCGCCCUGCAGCUCCCCGACCUUAAGGAAUCGUUUUUUUUUUUCUUUUAACAUUAAAAGAAUUCAGGUUGGGUUCAGACCUACCCGCGUUCUCCAGCCUUAAUUGUCACGGAGCUAUCUCUGAUCGAGCUGCGUCCCUGAUGGUGUGGGAAUCGAAUGUUGUUUCUGCGUUAGAACAAGAGAAUUUCCUUAAUUUCAUGGCCUCUGCUGCCACCUGGGUCCCGUAUUAGAACCCAUAGUUCUUUUCAGGGGGCUUUCUACUUUACUGGGGUUCUCUGAUAGUUUUCACGACUUAUUCUCUGGAUAAACCUUCCCCAGCAAUGCAUACUCAGUGUAUCAGUAACGGAAUAUAUCCAUCCAUAUAUAUCCAGAGAGAUGAGGUGCAUGGAGUCAGCACGGAGACUGCAGCUCCCGUCUGUGCAGCCAGCUGAGAAACCGCCGGGCCUUCAGUUAAAGGCAGGCGAGGUGU
Long non-coding RNA from Numida meleagris (helmeted guineafowl), 2184 nucleotides. The record is from Ensembl. Lineage: Eukaryota; Metazoa; Chordata; Aves; Galliformes; Numididae.